GCGGAUUUCAUCGGAUGCCAUCGGAAUUCAAAACUACGGAAUCAUAAUCCGCAGGUCCGGGGUUCGAGUCCCUGAUUCGCCACCA
Molecule: transfer RNA, 85 nt
Filed under: Paraburkholderia fungorum
Lineage: Bacteria; Pseudomonadati; Pseudomonadota; Betaproteobacteria; Burkholderiales; Burkholderiaceae
Description: tRNA-Met
Source: RNAcentral